CACGGGGGGAGCAAGCGUUGUUCGGAAUCAUUGGGCGUAAAGAGCUCGUAGGCGGUUUGUCGCGUCUGCUGUGAAAACUCGGGGCUUAACUCCGGGCCUGCAGUGGGUACGGGCAGACUAGAGUGCGGUAGGGGAGACUGGAAUUCCUGGUGUAGCGGUGAAAUGCGCAGAUAUCAGGAGGAACACCGAUGGCGAAGGCAGGUCUCUGGGCAUUAACUGACGCUGAGGAGCGAAAGCAUGGGGAGCGAUCCGG
RNAcentral lists this ribosomal RNA (253 nucleotides) under uncultured bacterium. RNAcentral's name for it is "partial 16S ribosomal RNA". It matches the Rfam family "Bacterial small subunit ribosomal RNA", at positions 524 to 776 of the family's 1533-position model. The record is from RNAcentral.